UGAGAAAAUGUCAGCCAGCAGAUUUUGGACCAUUGCACUGUUGUUAUUGGUGAUCCAGAUCCAACUCAGCACCGUGCUCACCCUCGAACAACCUGCAUGUACGCAAUCCUCUUAAGUACAUGUUUUUUUACCGUAUUAUAUAUAUUGCCUACCUUUCUUUGAAAGAUAUAUAGGAUGGAUAUGCAUGUAAUAUACGGCAAAGUGACCAAUGAGCAUGCCUACCUUCCUUUCGUUUUUUUAAGUUUAAAAACUGUAUUUUUUGACCGUAUAUGCAUGGUUACAGGGUUCAGAAAUAGACUUAAUUAUGUUCAGAAAACCAGUCCCUUGAUGACACAUUUCAUUUUACUUCAACACAUUCCAUUUUACUUUUGAAAUCCACAUCAACGCAUUUGUGUUCACCGGAAAAAUUUCAAUGGCCAGUUUUGGAAAGUUGUACAUGAAUAGAAUGUUAUUUGAUUCAUUGACGACUGGUUAUCUCGAUUACUCAGUCUCCAGACCAAAUUCACGGCAACUCACGUAAACAUACUUGUCCUUGGUUUGACCAGAUGUAGUACUAUCGCCCCAUCAGGUAGUUUAACAAGCAGGGCAUCUCAAAUACUCCAGAUCAGCCAUCUCCUUGUGGUUGGCACACCAACUUUUUGAUAGCGUCCAUGGGAGAAUAUGUGAGGAGGAGGCCAAGGAGUUGUUUCAAACAAACAGUAAAUGUUUUUUUAAUACCAAGGACCUAGAAACAAAUGAAUUCAUAUGAAAUUUGUUAGUAUUUUGUUAUAUCUAUGAUACUUUACUAGACUACGGUUCGGCCAUGGUCCAAUACUUUGGAUUGAGAUGUAAAUUUUCCAAAAUAGUUCACUGCACAAGAAUAGGCUUGAGGACCUUAGGGCUACCGUGUCAAGAGCGCAAGAGCCUCCACAAAGGACCAUGUAGCUAAAUCAUCCAUAAAGCCCAUACAGUUGUGCUAAAACUUUUACUCUAAAGCUAUUAUAUAAAUCAGGACAGUGAAAAGCUAUCAGCAAUUUGAUCCUUUGCCUAGUGCCUUGGUACAUAGUUUAUUUUGUGACUGCAAAGAUGUCAACAAGCAGCGGGCCUCGGUUUUGUUUGAUAUUCCUAUCAACCAACUAUCCCAAAAGACUGAUCUGAUAGGAAGAGGAGAUAUAAUAUACUUAACAGGUUUAUCACUAUGUUGCUGCUGCUAGUGUUCCUUCUACUCAUCACUGUGCCCCACGUAAACAGGAAACCUCCAACAGUUUGUAAGCAAACAUCUUAGGUUCAUGACUUCACUACAAUUUUGUGUCUCAAUCAACACAUUUUUCAAAAAGAGUCAUGUGGUUUAACUUCUCCAAAACUCUCCAAUAGUAAGUUUCUAUUCAGAUUAUUAAAGUGUUAUUUUAAGUAUAUCAAUAUUUGUUAAUUAAGAUAAACAAUACCCCCUCCAUUUCAAACUAUUGUUUGACCAAGUCUCAAUAAACUUGGUCAAACCUUAUAUGACUUCAACAAAAUCUAUAUAUGCACUAUUUUGGUACCACAAAUAGUAGUUGCAUAGUCCAUGAUUACAUGUUUUAGAUCUAUAAAGGUCGAGUAAAGUUUACCUCAACAGUGAAUAGAUCAAUGCAAAUUUCACUUAUUCCUUUUUUAAACAGGUUGAUCAACAUACACAAACAUAUAUAUGGCACUGUCUUAUUAUAUUCUUUGGAUCUAUGUGCAGGCACCUAUCUUCUUCCAGGUAAUUGUCGCCGUAAAUAAAUGGUGAACUGAAGUUCGAAAAGUGUGCGUAUGGUAGGUUAUUCAGUUUCCCAAGAAAUGAAAUGAAGUUGGAAAAAAAUUGUACCCCGGGAAUCAAAAGUUUAGCUAGUUUGCUGGG
Molecule: long non-coding RNA, 1858 nt
Filed under: Triticum aestivum (bread wheat)
Lineage: Eukaryota; Viridiplantae; Streptophyta; Magnoliopsida; Poales; Poaceae
Description: long non-coding RNA (TAES_LNC017356)
Source: RNAcentral